This is a non-coding RNA of Pelobates cultripes (western spadefoot toad), 285 nucleotides long. Lineage: Eukaryota; Metazoa; Chordata; Amphibia; Anura; Pelobatidae. The record is from the annotation of a GenBank genome assembly.
GUUCCUGUUAACCUCUACCUCGUGUUGGACAGCAGGAGUCUGUUGAUGUGCCUUACAUGUACUUUUGUCUUGUGAGUGCAACCAGAAUAAAGUGUCAUUCGGUGUUUUAAAUACUACACUGUGUUUUUGUCCCUUUUCCUUUUUUUCUUAUGUAUUUAAUAAGCAAAAAGGAUGCACCAAGAAGAACGUGUACCUUGAUAUUUUUCUACAUGCCCAAAUUUAACGUACUCUUGUGAGUGCAAUACGUGCCUACAUUCAUUGUUUUGGUGACAGACAAUAUUACCC